AGUGAACGCUGGCGGUAGGCCUAACACAUGCAAGUCGAACGGCAGCACAGUAAGAGCUUGCGCUUACGGGUGGCGAGUGGCGGACGGGUGAGGAAUACAUCGGAAUCUACUUUUUCGUGGGGGAGAACGUAGGGAAACUUACGCCAAUACCGCAUACGACCUACGGGUGAAAGCAGGGGAUCUUCGGACCUUGCGCGAUUGAAUGAGCCGAUGUCGGAUUAGCUAGUUGGCGGGGUAAAGGCCCACCAAGGCGACGAUCCGUAGCUGGUCUGAGAGGAUGAUCAGCCACACUGGAACUGAGACACGGUCCAGACUCCUACGGGAGGCAGCAGUGGGGAAUAUUGGACAAUGGGCGCAAGCCUGAUCCAGCCAUACCGCGUGGGUGAAGAAGGCCUUCGGGUUGUAAAGCCCUUUUGUUGGGAAAGAAAAGCAGCAGGUUAAUACCCCGCUGUUCUGACGGUACCCAAAGAAUAAGCACCGGCUAACUUCGUG
This 492-nucleotide ribosomal RNA is filed under the name uncultured bacterium. Its description in RNAcentral is "partial 16S ribosomal RNA". It matches the Rfam family "Bacterial small subunit ribosomal RNA", at positions 29 to 507 of the family's 1533-position model. The record is from RNAcentral.